CACGUGCUAACAAGUGGCGGUACAAAGGGCUGCGAACCCGCGAGGGGGAGCGAAUCCCAAAAAGCCGCUCUCAGUUCGGAUUGCAGGCUGCAACUCGCCUGCAUGAAGCCGGAAUCGCUAGUAAUCGCGGAUCAGCAUGCCGCGGUGAAUACGUUCCCGGGCCUU
This 165-nucleotide ribosomal RNA is filed under the name uncultured Geobacillus sp. Its description in RNAcentral is "partial 16S ribosomal RNA". It matches the Rfam family "Bacterial small subunit ribosomal RNA", at positions 1219 to 1382 of the family's 1533-position model. Lineage: Bacteria; Bacillati; Bacillota; Bacilli; Caryophanales; Anoxybacillaceae. The record is from RNAcentral.